Long non-coding RNA from Anopheles coluzzii, 5201 nucleotides. RefSeq lists it as uncharacterized. The record is from RefSeq and is a predicted model, not a curated record. The transcript has 3 exons. NCBI's taxonomy places the organism in Eukaryota, Metazoa, Arthropoda, Insecta, Diptera, Culicidae.
UUUAAACCGCAUUGAAAAUAGCAAUAUAUAUGAUACAAUUAGAACUCGCCAAUUGCAUUUAUAUCAUAUGUCUACAAAAAAAGAUAGAUUUUGUUUAUUAAAAAGACAUUUUUUAUGCAACACGACUAAUGUCUGCGUAUUUUUUCAUGUUUAUUAUUUUAUACAAUGUGGAUUUACUGACUUUUCCUCAUAUUUAUAUGAACAACUCGGAUUUUUUUGUAUUCAAUUGAAAAAGCAGACUUGCAAUUGGCGAGGUUUGAAUGUAUUUCGCUUCGUCACAUGGCAGCUCGCAUAUCUGUCAAGUUAGAAACGUAAACAAACACGGACAACUGCCCGUAAAGAUUGUGUGCAGAAUAAUCGUGAAAUUUUAUGUGAAAACUCGAGAAAAGGAAAAACAUCAUUUCAUCCCGAAAUUUGGCAACAUUCGUCCGAGUAUGAUCGAGCAGCUGUGUGUGUGUGUGUAUGCCGACGAAAUACGACGCCGCUUCUACAACAAUCACUAAAGCCGGCUGUGAUCGUGAUCGGCACAUUCUCAACUGGACCAACACACCUGUCGUUGUGUAUCUUCAACCAAACCAACGUUGCCAUACACCACAAAAUAGCAUGGAAAGGAAAGUAUUAUAAAAUAAUGUCAUAUUUGAAAGCAUUCUAAUCUUUCAUUGUUAUUUUUCCACUACAAACAGGAUAUUGGAUCACCGCAUCGACAAGUGGUUUUUAUGUGCAAGUGUUGUUAAGAAGUGUGUUGUACGGUGUAUUAUGUGUUUUACUUUAUUUGUAUCGCUUUGCAAGUGGUACAAUUAGUGCGUUUAAUCGUUGUGCUACUGCUAACGAAAAAACGAUCCGAGCAUUAGAAGCGGCAACAAUAAAUGUGCCUGACGCAGAGACAACAACGCCGUCGGCAUCCGUUGAUACCAUCCAAAGUGAUGGUUGAAAUCGUAUUUAAACGUGUAAAACCAUGUAUUGGGGCAUGUAAGUAUUGAAUAAUAGCUAAAUAAAAUACAUUUUAUCGUUGUACUGGACAAUGUGCAUCGAAAUUAAAAAAAAAGUGUUUGUGUUUUUGUUUACAUCCGAAUACAGAACCCACAACGCUAUACUGUGGUUCGAGCACUCGCUAAGUAACGCUUGAGCUUUGAGCUUUCAUUGAGCUUACAUAGAAUGUUACACGCUACCUGCUCACUAAGGACUGCUAUCGAGCAGUGUUAUGAGCAGGUAGCGAGCAGUAACGCCUCCAUACAAAAAUCGCGAAACGUAACGCUCCAAUGCUAUUUGGGCAAGCGGCAUCGCUGAGAGAGAAUUGAGCUUUUCCCGUUGUUUCCACCCCUGACAUACCAACGAACGGUGUGUUUGUUUCUACGCGAUGCGUUAUUCUCUGUUCCCGCUGCGCAAAUUCGAGCAGUUUCCAGCGCAGAAAAUGCACCAAAAUCUGCGCUGGCCAGCGCAGAUUUGGCCUGGUCUCCCGCGCUGUUCUUCAGCGAUUUCUGCGCUGGGUCGCGCAGUUCGGGCAGUUCGGACAGUUCGGACAGUUCGGGCGGCGGCGGAGCAAAAAAAAAAAACGGUCAAAAAAUUUAAAAAAAUAUUGGCGCCCAUUUUUUCGUCCGCUUCUUCCUCUCCUCUCCCUCCUUCACCCUGGCUUGCCUUACUUGAGCUUCAGCCCGUGCCUUCCGCCGCCAGCUGAUUGGGUGUUGUGGUGUAUGCGUUGAUACUUAUAUGUGCAUUGCGGUUAUGUAUUGUUAUUGGUGGGUGUUAGCAUUUAUUAAUUAGUGUGUGACCUUGGGACGAUGCGGGAGAAGCUGGAUUGGGAUUUAAAGUGUUAUCGGUGUAUUGAUGGAUUAUUUUAUUUCGUGCCGCUGCUGAUGAGACCAUUCGAUGCCCCUGCCAGUUGAGGGUGACGAAGCCUAUUUAAAACAAGCGUAGGAGAACGUCUAACACUAAUCUAAUAUUUUUUAAUUUGAACAUGUUUGAUGCUUCAACGACCUUCUAAGCAUUAUGUAGCACAGUGUAAAGUGGCAAUAAUUUUUUUUGUUAAUGUGCCGAAAUUUGUCUCGAGUUUUCGGGUCUCGACACACACACGCACACAGCGCGGGGAAAGUGACCGUUCAUUCUAUCAUGUCGUGAUUCCCCACCCCGCCCGGCGCUAGGGAUGAGGAUGCUACAAGAAAGCUGAACCAACCGUUCUACCGAUAAGGUAGCCGUAAUCGAUCAUGCGUGGAGGGGGGGGGUGGUCUAGUGGGGGGGGGAAUGCGUGCUUGCGCGCUUUCGUGGGUGCGUGCUGGCGUGCGCGCUUUCAUGCUCGCGGGCGCGCGUACGUGCGUGUGUGUGUGCGUGCGUGCGUGAUGGCGUGCGCGCGUUCAUGCAUGUGUGCGCGCGCGCGCUUGUGUGUGUGUGUGUGUGUGAGUUUGCGCGUGUGUGUGUGUGUGUGAGUUUGCGCGUGCGUGUUUGUGUGUGAGUUUGCGCGCGCGUGUUUGUGUGUUUGUGUGUGUGCGUGCGUUUGGAAACCCCAGAACUAUUUGAUUCUGAUGGGUACAUUUUCAUCCGCUGCGGCUACAAAGUCCAUGCAUUUUCGAUCUCGCUACCUGAGAGACAACACAACCAUUGGUAUUGACAUCUUUGCGAUCGGCUCUGCUGUUGGGGGUAUUAAAAAGACACACGAUCUAAGCAAACGUGCGUGCGAUAUGUUGCACAUUUAUUUCUUCAUUCAGCAACAAUUCAGCAAGCGGGCGCAAGUGGAAACAACAUUUUGAAUAGAAUCCAUACAAAAGAGGGUUCUGGAUUUGUUUAUUACGGUGCGCGUAUGGUGCUGCACCUGUCCGUCCAGAAUCAGAUGGCUUGUUGGUUUGGAGUAGUUAUCAUGACGCCGAUUGACCGGCAAUGCCUUCGAAUGGGUUCGGAUCGGUAGGUUCAUGUUUUGGUCGAGUGCAUUCCUUGCAUUUGUCGCGCCACAGCGGUAGACUCGGCAGCAACAAAGUCAAAACAAAAACUUUCCCCGAGUGUGGACUGCUAUGCUAAGUUCUUCUUCUUAUUAUUAUUAUUAUUAUUAUUAUUAUUAUUAUUAUUAUUAUUGUCAUUAUGGCCUACGCGAUCAUACCGGCCUUUUCAGGACUUGAGUACCACGUAGCCGGAUAGUCAGCCCUUGCUACGGCGGACGGUUCAUACGCGGUUAGAACCCACGACGGGAAUGCAGAUGUGCGAAAUGAUGACGGUGCCGCGGGACCGCUCCUACCCAGCGUGCAACUUGCAUACUGCCACACUGUCUCCUGCUGGAUGCAUACGCUGCAGGCAGGGGGAGGGAUGCACAUCCACGAUAAAAAAAACACCGUCAUAAACCAGCGGUGGACCUAACGGUAGGCGGACUGAGGGUCGCCGAAGAUCUCUAGUCUGUAGUAUGCCGUAUGUCUACAAGUGGACAGAUUAUUAGCGACAAGGGCCCCCGGAAAGAUGGUCUUUAGGGCUCCGUGGCUGGAGAACCAUUUGCACCUCCCCUCCCCCUAUGGCGACUACAAUUUUAGGGCCUGUGACCGAUGAUUGUAGGGGUCCCAUGGCCACCUCCCUUCCCGCCGGCAAUUUAAGUAUACUAGUCUGUAGUAUGGCUGUGUGCCACUACCCCCUCCUCCCUGUCAUCAGUUACCAUUGACAGGGGCCACAAUUCGUCUUUCCGCCUUUCAUGAACACCUUCCUUUCUUUGACCGAUGGAUCAUAUCAUUUCGGAAAAACACAUUUGACGACAGUUUUGCACACACACGUACGCUCAUACCCUUGCGCAGACGGCUCAGCAUAUCUGUGUAAUCUACAACAUACGAAAGCAAAAGCUUAGUGUAACAAAGUUAUGUUUAAUGCUUCACACGUUCAGAUCGAUGGCAGGCCCCACUGCCUGCCAGUGAACUUUCCAGCCUGCGUUCUAGGUGCUGGUGGAAAGGAAAGUUGAUGAAAAUCAGCGGCGGGAUGAACAUGUUAAUGCGAAUUAGGAUUCAGCGCGUUUCAUAGCAAACCAGCGUUAGCUAGCGAUUCCUUAUUCAUUUUUACAUUGCAGCAAUUGAACUUAUUGCGCUUUUUUUGUUUGAUUUGUGAAAAUGUAACUUCAUCGCCGCAAUAUUUGUUAACGGCAUUUUUAGGCGCCACAACAGCUCGCGAGCAUUGACCACACGCGAGAAAGAGAUGGCGCUAUGGAGGGAAAAAGCACGGACGACGGCUGACAGCGAUUGGCCGUCUGACGCACCAACACAUCCAAACCUUCGACAGCGCGCUCAGGCGAGGGGAAUGAGGCGGAGCCAGGGACGGGCAGCUCGACGAGCUGCUCGACAAAUUUGCCGUUGGAGAGAAAAGGAAGGCAUGAUAAAAUUCUCAGAACGCCAUAACGUCUUCCGUCGCUUUGCACAGCGGGUAUUUGGGUUUCGAUUGCUUCCCGCACAACAAAAUCGAGCGGUUUUGAGCUCGCUUUCUAGCUCGCAUUCCGCCGAAACCGAUCGAGAAAGCGAGCAGAAUCGUCCGAAGAACCGAUCGAAGCUCUUAAUCGAUUGAAGCGUUUACGGUCGUUCGAGAGAGCGCGUUGUAUGUGUUUGUCUCUUUCUGACAAAAAAGCUCCGGGACGCAAUCGUGUUGGCGCAAAAAUCAUAAUGGCCGAAAAAUACUUCACUCCGACGUUCUUCUUCUCCCCUCCUCCUCCCUUAUACCGCUUUAUCAUUAUUAUUUCUUGUUCUCUAGCUACAUUGAGCGAGCGGCUGAGAAGUUUUCGAUCGCUUUGCGCAGCGGGUGGCAAACAAUGACGCCAAAACUCAAAGCGUUCAUAUGAGUUGAAUUUCGGCAGAAUUUCGACAUUAAACUUUAUUCCGGAAACUGGUACAACAUCCCUUACAUCCCGCACAACAAAAUCGAGCAGUUUUUGAGCUCGGUUCGUAGCUCGCUUUCCGCCGAAACCGAUGGAGAAAGCGAGCAGAAACGUCCGAAGAACCGAUCGAACGUCCUCUUCAUCAAUUGAAGCGUUUACGAUCGUUCGAGAGAGCGCGUUGUAUGUGUUUGUCUCUUUCUCACAAAAAAGCGACCGUGUUGGCGCAAAAAUGAUAAUGGUCGAAAAAUAGUUUACACCCACGUUCGCUUUCUUCCCUUUUUCCCUUCUUCCCCAUCUUUUCAUCUCGCUUUUUCAUUAUUGGUUAUUGCUCUCUAGCUACAUUGAGCGAGAGUUUGAGAAGUUUUCGAUCGCUUUGCGC